Molecule: long non-coding RNA, 352 nt
Organism: Cornus florida
Lineage: Eukaryota; Viridiplantae; Streptophyta; Magnoliopsida; Cornales; Cornaceae
Exons: 2
Source: RefSeq, a predicted model, not a curated record
UUGAGAAUGAUACAAAGAAAAGAAUUAGAGAUGGAGAGAGACGUAGUGUCAAGAUUUUAUGUACACAGACACAGUGAUGAGGCCAGGAUUGUUAGAUGACAGAGAGGGCCAAAGAUUGUUGCUCAAAUGAAUUUUUAUUUUACAGUUUUCAGGUACCGAGGAUAAGCUUGGAUUACAAGUUGCGGGAUUAGGUGGAAGAGUUGGAGUUGAGGAAUUAAAUUAUUUUAUUUAGAGAUUUUUAUAUAUUUAUUUGAGGAAAUUGAUUUAGUAUCAAUUUAAUUAUUUGGAGACAUUAUAUAUUUUUAAAUUGAGGAAUUGAUUCUGUAUCAAUAAAAUGAUAUUUCUUUUGAGA